CUACGGGUUGCUGCAGUGAGGAAUAUUGCACAAUGGGGGGAACCCUGAUGCAGCAACGCCGCGUGGAGGAUGACGCAUUUCGGUGUGUAAACUCCUUUUAUGUGUCAAGAAAAUGACGGUAGCAUAUGAAUAAGCACCGGCUAACUCCGUGCCAGCAGCCGCGGUAAUACGGAGGGUGCAAGCGUUACUCGGAAUCACUGGGCGUAAAGUACGCGUAGGCGGGUUGGAAAGUCAGGUGUGAAAUCCUACAGCUUAACUGUAGAACUGCACUUGAAACUUCUAAUCUAGAGUAUGGGAGGGGGAGAUGGAAUUAGUGGUGUAGGGGUAAAAUCCGUAGAUAUCACUAGGAAUACCUAAAGCGAAGGCGAUCUCCUGGAACAUUACUGACGCUAAGGCGUGAAAGCGUGGGGAGCAAACACGAUUAGAUUCCCGUGUAGUC
RNAcentral lists this ribosomal RNA (439 nucleotides) under uncultured bacterium. Its description in RNAcentral is "partial 16S ribosomal RNA". It matches the Rfam family "Bacterial small subunit ribosomal RNA", at positions 339 to 795 of the family's 1533-position model. The record is from RNAcentral.